UAGAAUCACUGUCUGAGCCUGGGUAUGAAG
This 30-nucleotide non-coding RNA is filed under the name Rattus norvegicus (Norway rat). Lineage: Eukaryota; Metazoa; Chordata; Mammalia; Rodentia; Muridae. The record is from RNAcentral.